UUAUGGAAGGGAUUUUCAAGUUACAUGGCAUGCCUCUCACAAUUACCUCUGAUAGGGAUCCAAUUUUCCUUAGUAACUUUUGGAAAGAGUUAUUUGCUUUUCAAGGUGUUGGUUUGCAAUACUCAACAGCAUACCAUCUGCAGACUGAUGGCCUAUCCGAAGUUAUAAAUCGGUGCUUGGAAACAUAUCUUAGACGUGCAGUGGGAGACUCCCCUAUUUCCUGGGUCAAUUGGUUAUCACUUGCUGAGUAUUGGUAUAACACAUCAUACCAUACUACUAUUCACAUAUCCCCAUUUGAAGCAUUCUAUGGUUUUCCACCUCCUGUGCAUAUUCCAUACUUCCCUGAAGAUUCUUCUAUUGCUGUUGUUGAUAUCAAAUUGAGAGACUGUGAAAAUUCAAUCAAAUUGCUUAAGCAUCAUUUGGCCAGAGCAGCCAAUAGAAUGAAACAACAGGCAGAUAGGCACAGAAGUGACAGAGAGUUUGUUAUUGGUGACACGGUCUUACUAAAGUUGCAGAGCUACUGCCAGCAUUUUAUGCAUAAGGGCAAUGCUAAGUUUCAACCAAAGUAUUUCGGGCCCUUUCCAGUAAUUGAUAAGAUAGGAAAAGUGGCUUACAAACUUCAAUUGCCUGCUGAUGCACUUAUUCAUAAUGUCUUUCACGUGUCUCAGCUUAAGCCAACUUCAUCAACCAUUAAUUUUUCUUCCACUAUUCCUGCCGUAUUUUCCACGAAUCCACUUCAGCCACAAGCCAUACUUGAUAGACGUUUGGUUAAACGUCAAAAUCCCGCUGCCACUAAACUUCUCAUCCACUGGAAAGAUCAUUCUCCUUCAGAUGCCUCAUGGAAAUUUGCUGAUGAUUUACGUAUUCGUUUUCCUGGAUUCCUUGAGGGCAAGGGUGAUUAAGGGGGGGAGGGAGUAUUGAUAUGGAUUUAAGGAUGUGAGAAGUUAAAGAAAGAGUGUGAA
Molecule: unclassified non-coding RNA, 962 nt
Filed under: Hevea brasiliensis (rubber tree)
Lineage: Eukaryota; Viridiplantae; Streptophyta; Magnoliopsida; Malpighiales; Euphorbiaceae
Source: RNAcentral